RNAcentral lists this ribosomal RNA (657 nucleotides) under uncultured Pseudomonas sp. RNAcentral's name for it is "bacterial SSU rRNA". It matches the Rfam family "Bacterial small subunit ribosomal RNA", at positions 28 to 674 of the family's 1533-position model. Lineage: Bacteria; Pseudomonadati; Pseudomonadota; Gammaproteobacteria; Pseudomonadales; Pseudomonadaceae. The record is from RNAcentral.
AUUGAACGCUGGCGGCAGGCUUAACACAUGCAAGUCGAGCGGUAACAGAGAGUAGCUUGCUACUCUGCUGACGAGCGGCGGACGGGUGAGUAAUGCCUAGGAAUCUGCCUAGUAGUGGGGGAUAACUUGCCGAAAGGUAAGCUAAUACCGCAUACGUCCUACGGGAGAAAGCAGGGGACCUUCGGGCCUUGCGCUAUUAGAUGAGCCUAGGUCGGAUUAGUUAGUUGGUGAGGUAAUGGCUCACCAAGACCGCGAUCCGUAACUGGUCUGAGAGGAUGAUCAGUCACACUGGAACUGAGACACGGUCCAGACUCCUACGGGAGGCAGCAGUGGGGAAUAUUGGACAAUGGGGGCAACCCUGAUCCAGCCAUGCCGCGUGUGUGAAGAAGGUCUUAGGAUUGUAAAGCACUUUAAGUUGGGAGGAAGAGCAGUUAACUAAUAUUUGACUGUUUUGACGUUACCGACAGAAUAAGCACCGGCUAACUUCGUGCCAGCAGCCGCGGUAAUACGAAGGGUGCAAGCGUUAAUCGGAAUUACUGGGCGUAAAGCGCGCGUAGGUGGUUCGUUAAGUUAGGAGUGAAAGCCCCGGGCUCAACCUGGGAAUUGCUUCUAAAACUGGCGAGCUAGAGUAUGGUAGAGGGUGGUGGAAUUUCCUGU